Molecule: long non-coding RNA, 457 nt
Filed under: Pan troglodytes (chimpanzee)
Lineage: Eukaryota; Metazoa; Chordata; Mammalia; Primates; Hominidae
Description: long non-coding RNA NONPTRT006828
Source: RNAcentral
GAUAAGAGUGUCUUUAGUGUGUUCGAGAGAUAACCAGUGGCUGGGGGCCCCUAUAUGGCUUCAGGCUGGUCACUUGAAAGACCAAGGUAUGAUUACAAGGUUAGAACUUUUAGUGUCUCACCUCCCCCAACCACCACACACACACACAUACAUACAUGAAAGGGAGAGAGGAUGAAGAUUAAACUUGUGCCAGUCAACAAGUUUUGGCCAAUCAAAUGUGACCAACUGCUCAAACCGUGUUCAAAUAAGGCAAAUGCCGAGUUAUAACCAAUCCUGCUGUUUUUGUGCCUUACUUCCAUUUUCUGUGUAUCUCUGUCCUUUUUCUGUCCAUAAAUCUUCUUCCACCACGUGGCUGUGUGGGAGUCUCUGAGCCCAUUCUGGCUCGGGAGGCUACCAGGGAUAAGAUCCAAUCAGGUACAGCCUCCUACUUAUUUAAAAUAAGCAAACACACUUUACA